This 253-nucleotide ribosomal RNA is filed under the name uncultured bacterium. Its description in RNAcentral is "partial 16S ribosomal RNA". It matches the Rfam family "Bacterial small subunit ribosomal RNA", at positions 524 to 776 of the family's 1533-position model. The record is from RNAcentral.
UACGGAGGGUGCGAGCGUUAAUCGGAAUUACUGGGCGUAAAGGGCGCGUAGGCGGCACGAUCAGUCUGAUGUGAAAGCCCCGGGCUUAACCUGGGAACUGCGUUGGAUACUGUCGAGCUAGAGUUUGAUAGAGGGGAGUGGAAUUUCCGGUGUAGCGGUGAAAUGCGUAGAGAUCGGAAGGAACACCAGUGGCGAAGGCGACUCCCUGGAUUAAAACUGACGCUGAGGUGCGAAAGCGUGGGUAGCAAACAGG